AUUGAACGCUGGCGGCAGGCCUAACACAUGCAAGUCGAGCGGAUGAAGGGAGCUUGCUCCUGGAUUCAGCGGCGGACGGGUGAGUAAUGCCUAGGAAUCUGCCUGGUAGUGGGGGAUAACGUCCGGAAACGGGCGCUAAUACCGCAUACGUCCUGAGGGUGAAAGUGGGGGAUCUUCGGACCUCACGCUGUCAGAUGAGCCUAGGUCGGAUUAGCUAGUUGGUGGGGUAAAGGCCUACCAAGGCGACGAUCCGUAACUGGUCUGAGAGGAUGAUCAGUCACACUGGAACUGAGACACGGUCCAGACUCCUACGGGAGGCAGCAGUGGGGAAUAUUGGACAAUGGGCGAAAGCCUGAUCCAGCAAUGCCGCGUGUGUGAAGAAGGUCUUCGGAUUGUAAAGCACUUUAAGUUGGGAGGAAGGGCAGUAAGUUAAUACCUUGCUGUUUUGACGUUACCAACAGAAUAAGCACCGGCUAACUUCGUG
RNAcentral lists this ribosomal RNA (484 nucleotides) under uncultured bacterium. RNAcentral describes it as "partial 16S ribosomal RNA". It matches the Rfam family "Bacterial small subunit ribosomal RNA", at positions 30 to 507 of the family's 1533-position model. The record is from RNAcentral.